Molecule: ribosomal RNA, 440 nt
Filed under: uncultured bacterium
Lineage: Bacteria
Description: partial 16S ribosomal RNA
Rfam family: Bacterial small subunit ribosomal RNA
Source: RNAcentral
CCUACGGGAGGCAGCAGUGGGGAAUAUUGCACAAUGGCGGAAACCCUGAUGCAGCGACGCCGCGUGAGUGAAGAAGUAUUUCGGUAUGUAAAGCUCUAUCAGCAGGGAAGAAAAUGACGGUACCUGACUAAGAAGCCCCGGCUAACUACGUGCCAGCAGCCGCGGUAAUACGUAGGGGGGAAGCGUUAUCCGGAUUUACUGGGUGUUAAGGGAGCGUUGACGGUGUUGCAAGUCAGGAGGUAAAGUCCGGGGGUCAACUCCGGGAGUGCCUUUGAAACUGUGUGACUGGAGUGCAGGAGAGGUAAGCGGAAUGCGUGGUGUAGCGGUGAAAUGCGUAGAUAUCAGGAAGAACGCCAGUGGCGAAGGCGGCUUACUGGAGUGUAACUGACGUUGAGGCUCGAAAGCGUGGGGAGCAAACAGGAUUAGAUACCCUAGUAGUC